GAUGAACGCUGGCGGCGUGCCUAAUACAUGCAAGUCGAGCGAACGGACGAGAAGCUUGCUUCUCUGAUGUUAGCGGCGGACGGGUGAGUAACACGUGGAUAACCUACCUAUAAGACUGGGAUAACUUCGGGAAACCGUAGCUAAUACCGGAUAAUAUUUUGAACCGCAUGGUUCAAAAGUGAAAGACGGUCUUGCUGUCACUUAUAGAUGGAUCCGCGCUGCAUUAGCUAGUUGGUAAGGUAACGGCUUACCAAGGCAACGAUGCAUAGCCGACCUGAGAGGGUGAUCGGCCAAAAUGGAACUGAGACACGGUCCAGACUCCUACGGGAGGCAGCAGUAGGGAAUCUUCCGCAAUGGGCGAAAGCCUGACGGAGCAACGCCGCGUGAGUGAUGAAGGUCUUCGGAUCGUAAAACUCUGUUAUUAGGGAAGAACAUAUGUGUAAGUAACUGUGCACAUCUUGACGGUACCUAAUCAGAAAGCCACGGCUAACUACGUG
Molecule: ribosomal RNA, 497 nt
Filed under: uncultured bacterium
Lineage: Bacteria
Description: partial 16S ribosomal RNA
Rfam family: Bacterial small subunit ribosomal RNA
Source: RNAcentral